This 45-nucleotide transfer RNA is filed under the name Lepidodactylus sp. MPH-2012. RNAcentral describes it as "partial tRNA-Cys". Lineage: Eukaryota; Metazoa; Chordata; Lepidosauria; Squamata; Gekkonidae. The record is from RNAcentral.
AAGCCCCGGCACGCAUUACCGUGUGUCUCCAAAUUUGCACUUUGG